This 476-nucleotide ribosomal RNA is filed under the name uncultured eukaryote. RNAcentral's name for it is "eukaryotic LSU rRNA". It matches the Rfam family "Eukaryotic large subunit ribosomal RNA", at positions 14 to 488 of the family's 3401-position model. The record is from RNAcentral.
GGCGAGAACACCCGGCGAAUUUAAGCAUAUUACUAACCGGAGGAAAAGAAACCAACAGGGACGUCCUCAGUAGCGGCGAGCGAAGCGGACGAUGCCCAAACCGAACCGCGGUUCCCGAGGGGGCCGCGGAGUGUGGAGAGGAUGAGCUCGCGAGGGGGCGGGACGGGUUCCAAUCCGUCUGGAAGGGCGGAGGCACGGAGGGCGAUUCCCCGUACGUGCUCGGUCCGUCCCCGACGAGCGAACGCAUCGGAGAGUCGGGCCGCUUGAGAGUGCAGCCCGAAUGGGGUGAUAGGUCUCAUCCAAGGCUAAGUACGUGGGAGACGCCGAUAGCGAACAAGUACGGCGACGGAAAGGUGAAAAGAACCUCGAAAGGGGGGUCAAAAGCGCUCGAAAUCGUAGAGGGGGAAGCGGGACCUGACCGACGAGACCUCGUCGUCGCUCGCGCUCGACCACGCCUUCGUCGCGGAGUUCCGGUA